RNAcentral lists this unclassified non-coding RNA (2308 nucleotides) under Hevea brasiliensis (rubber tree). Lineage: Eukaryota; Viridiplantae; Streptophyta; Magnoliopsida; Malpighiales; Euphorbiaceae. The record is from RNAcentral.
UGAAGAUGAGGCCUAUUUUUGUCGGGAACUUUGAGUUUGAUACUCGUCAGUCAGAACUGGAACGGUUUUUUUCCAAGUAUGGAAGAAUUGAGCGAGUCGACAUGAAAUCUGGUAUAGCGUUUUUUCUAAAAGAUUUAGCUAGUUGGGUUUUGAUUACUUGUCUUAUGGUGUAUAUGUUGCUUUAAGAAGCAAAGUUGGAAUACGUUUGUGGCCUGUCAUGGGGUUAACUUGGGGUUUUAAGUUUCAUGGACCUCACCCUCUAUAUAUGAGUUUGCACUUUAUGUGUUGGAUAGGAGUCUUCUGCGAAUGCCUCGGAUUGUCUGUCCUAUACUGCCCAAAACUUUCGUAUAUGUUUACAAAACUUAUAUGUGAGAAUUGUUUUUCUAUAUUAGUAAUUUCUUUGUGUGAUCACGAUCCCCGCAAUUCUUGGUACAUAAAGGGUAGUAGAGCUUUAAUGAUUUCAUUGUAUGGAGUUGUUAUUUAAUGAGUUUCAUUUUCAGCAUUAUAAAUUAAUGACUAUACUUGGAUGAUAAUUUUUUGUAAGCAAGUUCUUGUAUGCUUGUCUGAUAUCAUUAGCGUCUUUUGGUUCUGGUGUCUUAUCUAAAUUAUUGUCUUGUUUAAUUAUUUUGACGUUGGAAAGUAUGUGCUUAUUUGAGGUGUAUUUUAGGUUACAUUUUUUUACCACUUGGGAGAGUUGACUAUAAUUAUUUUGGUUAAACAAACAAUAUAGCUAUAUGACUCUGUCUGUAGCAUGUAGAAAUGCUAUACCUGAGUUGUCAAGACAUAAUGUGGAACCAAACAUUCAUUUGGAAAAGAUCUCCACAUUCAAGUGUUUAUUUUGCCGCAGGCACAUCUACUAAGGAAAAAGAGCUUCUAUCAUGGCUCAACACUUCUGUGCCCCUAUCUGCCUGCUUGAUCUCCUCCUUCUCACUGAUGCAAUUGUGUUCUGAAUUUCUUACAUCGAUCUUCUGUCAUUCACUUACUUCACUACUUAUGUUGCUUAUCACGAGAAUGAUCAUGGUGGGAUCAGUCAGUUCAUCAUGCCAUGCCUACAACUACUAAUAAAGGGGAUCAAUGAAUUAUAUCAUGCCAUGCCUACCAAUUCUGAAAAUCGUGCUCUGAAAUUGGUGAUGCAUGCUUAGCAAUGACUACUCAGACCUGAGUUUUAAACCCUUAAUAAGCCUUCAUCACCUCGACCAUCAUCAUCAUCAUCAUGAUCUAGUUCAUGCAAGGCCUCUACUUCCUUACUUUCCUCAAGUCCUCACAUACUUGCAGGUGUUGUACGGUAUUUAAUUUCUGAAGGAGAUGAGAACUUUGAUUUAGCCGAUGUAUACUCUACUGAAAAGACUUAAGAUCCCAUGUCUUACUGUUCUUUCGGCCUUAUAAUUAAGUCUUUACAACUACCACAGGGUAUGCUUUCGUCUACUUUGAGGAUGACCGAGAUGCAGCAGAUGCAAUCCGUGGGACUGACAACAUGCCAUUUGGUUAUGAAAGGCGCCGGCUCUCCGUGGAAUGGGCAAAAGGUGAACGUGGUAGGCAUCAUGAUGGUGGCCCCAAGUCUGGUGGAAACCAGAGACCGACCAAAACAUUGUUUGUAAUUAAUUUUGACCCUAUCCGUACUAGGGUCCGAGACAUAGAGAAACACUUUGAACCUCAUGGCAAAGUCCUUCAUGUUCGCAUCCGCCGCAACUUUGCGUUUGUGCAGUUUGAAAAUCAGGAAGAAGCCACAAGAGCUUUGGAGUGUACACACAUGAGUAAGGUCCUGGAUAGAGUGGUUUCUGUGGAGUAUGCAUUGAAGGAUGACGAUGAGAGGGGGGACAAAUAUAACAGCCCUAGACGAGAUUAUGGCAGGCAAAGGGAUAGUCCUUAUCGAAGGUCACCAAGUCCAGUGUAUCGUAGGAACCGACCGAGUCCUGAUUAUGGCCGACCUCGGAGUCCUGUUCAUAAUGGUCCAUCAUAUGACAGAUACAGGAGUCCACAGUAUGGAAGGUAUCGCAGCAGGUCUCCUGUUCGGAGGUCUUGAACUUGAGUCAGUUCUUUAUGUGGGAGAGCUUGUGCUGUCAUAAUGUAAAUGCUUGAUGCAGUCUGGUUGUGUAGGAGAAAGAUCUAUCGUUUAUCAGUGUAGCUGUUGCAUUUUGUUGCUUUAACUUAGUUGACUGUAGCUUGUGAAUUUAGCUGUGGGGGAAAACAUUGUUUAGUAGUAGUAGUAGUAUUCUCAUUUCCUAUGAAUGUUGGAGUAUUAUCUCAUAGAUAGGAUUGGAGACUUUUGUUCAAGUACAUAAAUCUGGAACGCCAUAAAAAGGGGGCA